Molecule: long non-coding RNA, 484 nt
Filed under: Mytilus galloprovincialis (Mediterranean mussel)
Lineage: Eukaryota; Metazoa; Mollusca; Bivalvia; Mytilida; Mytilidae
Source: RNAcentral
GGGAAAUCUCUAAUUUGGCAUUAAAAUUCGAAAGAUCAUAUCAUAGGGAACAUGUGUACUAAGUUCUAAGACAAUUGGACUUUAACUUCAUCAAAAACUACCUCGACCAAAAGCUUUAACCUGAAGCGGAACGAACGGACGGACGAAUGAACGAAAGGAUGCACAGACUAGAAAACAUAAUGCCCAUAAAUGGGGGAGUUAGGGAGCUACCAUUUGAUUUUUAUGGGGGGGCUAGGAUGAAAAAUUUUGUCCUGCAUUUUUUUUUAGCUGUAAUCUCUGUCCUGCCUUUUUAUUUUUUACUCUAUUCGGUCCUGCCUUUUUUUUACUAGUUUAUCCUGACUUUUUUUACACAAAUUGUCAUCCUGCCUUUUUUUUAACAAGUUUCUCAUCUGCCUUUUUUUUUUACUCAAAACUCCUGUCCUGCCUAUUUUUUUCAAAUUUCAUCCUAGCCCCCCCCAUAAAAAUCAAAUGGUAGCUCCCUUAC